RNAcentral lists this ribosomal RNA (1032 nucleotides) under Triticum aestivum (bread wheat). Its description in RNAcentral is "partial small subunit ribosomal RNA". Lineage: Eukaryota; Viridiplantae; Streptophyta; Magnoliopsida; Poales; Poaceae. The record is from RNAcentral.
AUGCAAACUCUGUCUCUCUCCACACAAGGAUUGCCUCUGUCCUUCUACCAACGUACGGAACCACGUAAACCCCACUUUUCCAAGAAGGAGCCGCGAAGCAAUCCCACCGCCCUGCAUCUUCGUUGCCCAGCAGGUCAUACGCUCCGUCUCAUCUCAUCUCACUAUAUAAGUCGAGGAGUGGAGCCUUCUCGGCGCAUCAUCCUUGUCGCCAUCACCAUUCGCUUUGCUCCUCCCCUUCCGCCACACCCGCGAAAACCCUACCCUCCAAAGGCUGCUUCCCUGGUCAUCGCAUCGCGGGGCGAGAUGUCCGGGCACCAGAAGGGCGGCGACAUCGAGGCGGGGACGUCCGGUGGCAUUGCCACGGCGCCGGCGCAGGUGCUGUACCCCGGGAUGGCGGAGAGCCCCGAGCUGCGCUGGGCGCUCAUCCGGAAGAUCUACGUCAUCCUCUCCCUGCAUCUUCUGCUCACCGCCGUCGUCGCGGCCGUCGUCGUCAAGGUCCGGGCCAUCCCGCACUUCUUCGUCUCCUCCUACGCCGGCCUCGGGCUCUACAUCUCCAUCCUCAUCUUCCCCUUCAUCGUGCUGUGCCUGUUGUACUGCUACCGUCAGAAACACCCAGUCAACCUGCUGCUGCUCGGCGUCUUCACAGUGGCCAUCAGCUUCUCUGUGGGCAUGACAUGUGCCUUUACUAGCGGCAAGGUCAUUUUGGAGGCUGCGAUUCUUACAACGGUGGUUGUCUUCAGCCUCACUGCUUACACUUUCUGGGCUGUAAAGAGGGGCAAGGACUUCAGCUUCCUUGGUCCUUUCUUAUUUGCUUCUCAUCAUGUUGCUCGUCUUUGGUUUCAUUCAGGUCAGAUACCGUCCGUUUAUCAGGCUUCUCUAUUCUACAAUCAGUCAAUACUGAUCAUGGCUUCUCUAAAUAUGCAGAUCCUCUUCCCGCUGGGCAAGCUCUCACACAUGAUCUACGGUGCGCUGGCGGCACUCAUCUUCAGUGGCUACAUUGUGUACGACACGGACGACAUCAUCAAGCGUUAA